Malania oleifera is the source of this 5755-nucleotide long non-coding RNA. RefSeq lists it as uncharacterized. The transcript has 7 exons. The record is from RefSeq and is a predicted model, not a curated record. NCBI's taxonomy places the organism in Eukaryota, Viridiplantae, Streptophyta, Magnoliopsida, Santalales, Ximeniaceae.
CCUUCUAGUCCCCAAUCUGUCUCUGCCUUUGCGCUGCUGCCGCAGAGGCUCUCUGCCUCCCUCCCCACUCGGCCACUCUCCAGUCCCCGACCCUCUGCGGCUCUGCCUCUGCCUCUGCCUCUGCCUACGCCUCCGCCUCUGCACUGCCGCCAUUGCAGCUCUGUUUCCCUCCCCACUAGGCCACUCUCCAGUCCCCGACCCUCUGCAGCUCUGCCUCUGCGCUGCCGCCACUGCGGCUCUGCCUCCCUCCCCACUCAGCCACCCUCCAGUCCCCACUCGCCGCAACGGCACGACUCCAAUGUUUGGUUAAAAAUCGGUUAAAAUCCGAAAAAAUGGGAACCGAACCACCCAAUGUUCAGUUCUCUAGCGCAUAAUAAGUUCAGUUUGGUUUCAGUUUCAGUUCGCCAAGAUUAAAAACCGCAAAAUUUAGUUCAGUAUUAUGUUUGACCCAUAACAAAACUGUUAUGGAACGAUUACACCCCUAGGCCAGAACAUGAAUCCUAUUCUGCUGUUACGCACCAUCUAGGGCAAUAUCCUUGAAACUUGGAAUGCUGCAAAGUACUAGUUGACUAUUCAGUUUAGGGUUUAGGGUUUAGGGUUUUAGGGUUUAGGGUUUAGCUUUUAGGAUUUAGGAUUUAUAAUUUAGGGUUUAGUAAUUUAGAGUAUUUCUCGAUUGCAUUUUCUUUCACAAGCAGAUGGGAUUUGUCACAGCAGUUUUUUAGAUGGAGUAAUAAUGGUCAUAUGUUUUUGAAUUCAUGAUGAAGAACCCCUACCCUCGGAAAAAUCAUGGAUUCCAUGAUGGCACUAAAACCAAUGGCCUGUGCCUAUAUUGUCUAAAAGUUACAAAUAAACCACACCUGAAAGGACACUUAUUUUACAAAUGAGCCCCAAAUACACAUAAGCCAUCUACACAAAUUAAACUGGAGCACACACAAUAACUGCUCUUAUUGAACUAAAAACAUUUGGGGUUAGUACCAACAAUUUUUUGAUCCAAAUCUUUUGAAUUAAUCUCAAAAAAGGGUCUACCAUGAUUAGCUUCUUGUUCUAAAUCAAAUCUCUUAUAGCUUCAAAAUUGACAUGUUGGAGGAUUAAAAAUAGACAGCAACGAACUUUUGCAGCACCAAACUAAGUGAAGAGCUUAAUUGGGAAUUAGUUUCAAUAAAUUUUGAAGGCUUUGGAUGUCUUCUAGCACAUGCCUACCCUUGCUCGUAGUGUCUUCAAGUUGAGUAACUUUUACACGAAUAAUAUUGCCAUAUUCUUUUAUGCUUGGUUUGCUGGUAGCAGGCUCCAAAUUAUUCUUCUUGCUAUUAUAGUGAAAUGCAUCUAUGUUCUCAUGUCUUUUGAGUCACACACAAAUGAUCCAACCAAGUAGAAGCAGCAGAUGGCCAAUGGGUAUGAUAUGUCACCAAACAUGAUCAAAAUAAUCAUCCAUUUGGAUAGGAACUGAAACACCUUCCACUAACAUGUAAAGCAGUGUUAUCAGCCUAAUGUUUCAUAUAAGGCUGUGGGUGGGGUUCUAAAGCUGCAUACAAGUGACAUCAUUUUUUGAAAACACAUUCACAGGACACCUCUCAUCAAUUGUGACUUUUUUUGCAUACAUUUUCUCCACACUUGAGGUAGGAAAUGUACCCAAGGUAUGGGAAAAGGCAUUCCUUUUUCCAAUAAUUUGUCACCAUGUUGCUGGUUUGUUUGUUAGUUUUUUUUAUUUUAUUUUUUAUUUUAAAUUUUAAAUAUAUAUUGCAGCUAUAUAUCACCAAACCUUUAACACAAUUUGCCCCAGAAUUUUCAAUUUCUCUAAAUCUAUCUCUAAUUCACCUUUAACCUUGAGUAAUGAGUAUCAUGCAGAAACUAAACAUUCCAAUUAGAAAACUCACCAUAUGAAACAAUGGAAUCUGAUUCUUGAUGCUGGCACUGGCAGUUGACUCUUCAAAAUGCUGAUGGUACAAGGCAGUCCAAUUUCUAGCAAUUCAGAUCAAAAUGUUGUACAUGAAUACAAAAUAUUUUGACUGGAAUCAAGUUAUUGUGCUGCAAAUCAAAAUUUCAAAUGUAGGAUUUCAGUCACAUGUACGCCACAUGUUGGGGAGAAACAGGCUAGAAAACUUGGGAUUUUCAAGGGCAGAUGGCUGGGGAACCUUUAGCUGGUGCCCUGGGCUACACAUGUUGUUGGAUGGCAAUGAAAUUUGGGGAAGGGGCUGAUUGGCAAUGUCUGUGGUAGCUGUUGCUAACCCUACUUGGAAAGUAGAUUACGAAAGUGUAGGGCAGUGACAGUAUGCUUCUGGUUAUUAUAUGGUGCGGUGAACAGUUCUGCAAUUAGCAGUGUUAAGUGUAUAAUCGAGGAGGGAAGGUGUGGGAGAGAGAGGAGGGAGGAAAGAAAAUCAAAGAUGGAGAAGAAAACUUGGAUCAAGAAUUUGACAGGAAAUUGAUUGCUGCUGAAUAUCCUAUUCAUCGAUAUCUUUUUCUGCAGGUGUUCCAGAAGUAAUUUAUUUAUCCUAUUAUUAAUAUUUUUUCAUUCAUGACUUAUAGCUAGAAGAUAAGGGAGGGACGACUUAGAUGGUAUGGACACUUGCAACGUAGGCCACAUAGCACACCUAUGAGGAAGAGUGACUUAGUUACUGUGGGGGGGGGGGGGCAGUAGAAGGGGUAGGGGUGGACCUAAAAUAACUUGGGAGGAGAUAGUGAGUAAGGAUUUAAUAUCCUUGAAUCUAUCAAAAGAAAUGGUACAUGAUUGCAUAAAUUGGCGGGAAAAGACUCAUAUAGCCAACCCCACCUAGUGGGACUAAGGUUUGAUUUUGUUGUUGUUGUUAUUGACUUAUAUAGCUAGAAUUACCUUGACAAAUUGCGAAUACUAAUUUGUUAAGAAAUAAACAGAAUUGAAGCUAUCUCAUCAUUAUUCUUUGGAAUUGAAAUAGCUGCUUGGUCUGGGUCACAAUUUGUAUCUAUGGAAUUCCUGAAGUGAUAUGUUCCGUACAGACCAUAUGUUCUUCUUGCUCAUUAAUAAUGAUUACGUUUUUUCCCCAAGCACCUUGUUGAUUGCAACACCAAGAAAUAGAUGCAAAAAAUCUUUCUGAGAAUGUACCUUAGCACUUAUGGUAGGACACAUUUUUUGCAACACCAAGAAAUUGAUGCAAAAAUUCUUUCUGAGAAUAUACCUUAGCACUUAUGGUAGAACACAUUUUUUGCAAAUGCAAAUAUGAAAACCUAAAAAUCAAUGAAGUAUUGAAGAACUUAUACUGUUAAGUGUGUUGGGCUGGAGUUUGAAUUGAUUUAAGAACCGGUGAUGAAAGGGAUUUGUACGCACUUUUAAAAUGUGUAUGGACAAUUUUUGUUUCCUGAAAGGCAAUAUUUCUUGCUGCAUCAGGGGUUUUUACAUUUCUGGUAUGACACGAUCUUCAUAUUCAUAUUCAUAUUUAUUGAUGACUAAUGCACCCUCAUGUGGAAAUUGACUAUAUCUGAGCCAUGUUUCAUGUCUAUCUGUCAACCUGCCAGAUUCUCCAUCCAUCUUUUGUAUUAUGGUAUGACAUGUUAUAGAGCUUUUUAAUUAUAUUUUCAUGUGAUUUAUGCUCGGGCAUUUGUAUAUAUGCUGUACUUUUCAAUCUUCGGUGAGGAUCUGCUGUAGUGAAACUAACAAUUGCAUUGCACCUGCCAGUGGUAUUGCUGCCUUGUGUGACUUGUGGCUCUUUGAAUUUUUAAAUUUUUUUUUGUUAAUAAUUUAACCCAAGCUUACCUACACAUGUGCAUGCUGAAACUGUUGAUUUUAGUCCUUGGACGCCUACCUAGGAAAAACGACACUCCUAAGAGGCCCAAGUGUUUGUAUCCAUCGUGUGUUGGACUCCAACAUGACGACAUGUGCCCAACAUGCCCUGAUAUGACCCUCUUAUGUGUUGGGCAAAAUAAUUUCAGGUUUUUUGUUUUAAAUUUUCGGACACAAUUGGGCACACAUGGACACAACGUGAGUAUGCAAUAUUUCCUCACCGAGUAUGCAAUGUUUGUAUUUUCUUCUUGUUGAUUUAUUAAGAUAUAUUGUUUGGAAGUGUGGAUUUCGGGGCUUGAAUUUGGAUUUGUGUAAAUUUGGUAGAAACUCUAUACAAUUUUGUACUAUGUUUUGUCUAUCUCCACACAAAUAUAAAUCCAAGCUCUGAAUGCCAUGCUCCCAAACAUAGGGUAAGAAAAUUUUAACUGCUAAUCAUAUCUUUUAGGUGGAGGGAACCUUUCCUGAUGGGACAAAGUUAAUCAUCAUUCAUGAACCAAUUUCCUCCGAAGAUGUAAAUCUGGAGCAGGCAUUUGAUGGCUCUUUUCUUCCAGCCAGGCGAAACAAAAAGUACAAUUUGUUAGGAUUGGGGGCAAGCAAGAGAUAAAGGGAGGAAAUGGUAUUGUUUAUGGUCCUGUUGAUGAUGCCAAUAUCGAAACAGUGAUUGAAGCUGUCCGCACAAGAAGAUUUGGGAAUUCUGGAGAAACAGAUGCUAGAGAAGGUAUCAGUGGAGAAGAUCCUGAUUUCACGAAAACAAUUUCUCGCGAGGAAUUUGCCAACAAGUACGGACCUACCACUGGUGACAAAAUUCGGCUUGGUGACACUUACCUGUUUGCAGAUUUGAGAGAGAUUUUGCUGUAUAUGGUGAUGAAUGUGUAUUUGGAGGCGGAAAAGUUCUAAGCGAUGGAAUGAGGCAAGCUUUUGGCUACGCAUCACAUGACUGUCUUGAUACGGUUAUUACAAAUGCUGUGAUGAUUAUACUGGGAUUUUUAUAGCAGAUAUUGGUAUUAAAAAUGGUCUUAUUUUUUCCCUUGGAAAAGAAGGCAAUCCAGAUGUCAUGGAUGGUGUUUCUUCUAACAUGAUCAUUGGGGCUAACACUGAGGUUAUUGCUGGAGAGGGAAUGAUAGUAACUGCUGGGGCCAUAGAUUGUCAUGUGCACUUUUUAUGCCCUCAACAGGCAUAUGAUGCAAUAUCAAGUGGAAAAAAUGUGCGAUUUCCUGCUGUGUCUUGUUGUUCCUAGUUUCCUAAAAAGGGAAGGGAGACUGGAGCAGAGCAAGGAGAAUCUGCGAAUCAUCUUGUCCUACCCUGGGAUUGGAAAAAGGCUACACGCAGCAGAAAAAUUUGGGAAAGGGCUGCUGGCUUGGAGGGAUUUUAAGUGCAGGAAACGAGAUCCCUGAGAUUCCAUUCAUCAAGCAGUGUUCCAAUCAGUUUGGAGAUGGAGAAGCUAAAGCAUUCGAAUGAGUGGAAACCACUUUUGUUUGUACUAUGUUUUGUCCAUCUCCACACAACUAUAAAUCCAAGCUCUGAAUGCCAUGCUCCCAAACACAGGGUAAGAAAAUUUUAACUGCUAAUCAUAUCUUUUAGGUGGAGGGAACCUUUCCUGAUGGGACCAAGUUAAUCACCAUUCUUGAACCAAUUUCCUCUGAAGAUGUAAAUCUGGAGCAGGCAUUUGAUGGCUCUUUUCUUCCAGGGAUGCAUAUGAUCUUUAUGGAGCAAGAUUUGCUCUUCUCCAAUUAAGCUUCCCAACAUCUGGAAGAGAUCAUGUUAAUCAUGGUCACCCGUGGUGUUGAAGUGAGAUAUUUUGAGGUUAGAAAUACAAAAGAAGACAUUGGAUAUGUACCAUCAAUGUGAAAUUUCCUGGCACUGGUGCUGGACUUUAGUAUUUAUUUUGUGUAUCCAAAUCGCAUACUAACUGUAUUUUUCCUUGGGUUUUAAUUGGAAUAUGACGAACUAGGAUAGAAACUCAUAGCAUAUUCUGGAGUCAAUUUGGGUAGCUUUUUUUGAGUA